This 490-nucleotide ribosomal RNA is filed under the name uncultured bacterium. RNAcentral's name for it is "bacterial SSU rRNA". It matches the Rfam family "Bacterial small subunit ribosomal RNA", at positions 8 to 524 of the family's 1533-position model. The record is from RNAcentral.
AGAGUUUGAUCCUGGCUCAGAAUGAACGUUGGCGGCGUGGAUUAGGCAUGCAAGUCGAGCGAGGAAAGUUGUAGCAAUACGGCUUAUUCGAGCGGCGUAAGGGGCAGUAAUACCUGGGAACGUACCCUGAGGUCGGGGAUAGCUGCUGGAAACGGCGAGUAAUACCCGAUGAUCUCGAGAGAGCAAAGGCUUGCCGCCUUCGGAGCGGCCCAGGCGAUAUUAGCUAGUUGGUGGGGUAAAGGCCUACCAAGGCGUAGAUGUCUAGCGGGUGUGAGAGCACGACCCGCGCCACUGGCACUGAGACACUGGCCAGACACCUACGGGUGGCUGCAGUCGAGAAUCUUCGGCAAUGAGCGCAAGCUUGACCGAGCGACGCCGCGUGCGGGAUGAAGGCCUUCGGGUUGUAAACCGCUUUGGUCCGAGAGAAAGGGCAACUUGAUCGAUCGGAGAAACAAGGACGGGCUAAGCUCGUGCCAGCAGCCGCGGUAAU